RNAcentral lists this ribosomal RNA (165 nucleotides) under uncultured bacterium. RNAcentral describes it as "partial 16S ribosomal RNA". It matches the Rfam family "Bacterial small subunit ribosomal RNA", at positions 355 to 511 of the family's 1533-position model. The record is from RNAcentral.
UAGGGAAUCUUCCACAAUGGGCGGCAAGCCUGAUGGAGCAACACCGCGUGAGUGAAGAAGGGUUUCGGCUCAUAAAGCUCUGUUGUUAAAGAAGAACACGUAUGAGAGUAACUGUUCAUACGUUGACGGUAUUUAACCAGAAAGUCACGGCUAACUACGUGCCAG